GAUGAACGCUGGCGGCGUGCUUAACACAUGCAAGUCGAACGGAAAGGCUCUUCCUUUGUGGGGUGCUCGAGUGGCGAACGGGUGAGUAACACGUGGGUAACCUGCCCUUCACUUUGGGAUAACCUUGGGAAACUGGGGCUAAUACCGGAUAGGAGGUUCUGCUGCAUGGUGGGGGUGGGAGUGUUUCGGCGGUGGGGGAUGGGCUCGCGGCUUAUCAGCUUGUUGGUGGGGUAGUGGCCUACCAAGGCUUUGACGGGUAGCCGGCCUGAGAGGGUGAACGGCCACAUUGGGACUGAGAUACGGCCCAGACUCCUACGGGAGGCAGCAGUGGGGAAUAUUGCACAAUGGGCGGAAGCCUGAUGCAGCGACGCCGCGUGGGGGAUGACGGCCUUCGGGUUGUAAACCGCUUUCGCUAGUGACGAAGCGUAAGUGACGGUAAUGGGAGAAGAAGCACCGGCUAACUACGUG
Molecule: ribosomal RNA, 468 nt
Filed under: uncultured bacterium
Lineage: Bacteria
Description: partial 16S ribosomal RNA
Rfam family: Bacterial small subunit ribosomal RNA
Source: RNAcentral